ACGGACGAGGCCCCUUCGGGGACCGAGUUAGUGGCGAACGGGUGAGUAACGCGUGAGGAACCUGCCUUUCAGUGGGGGACAACAGUUGGAAACGACUGCUAAUACCGCAUGAAGCAUUUAGGGGGCAUCCCCUGAAUGCCAAAGAUUUAUUGCUGAAAGAUGGCCUCGCGUCUGAUUAGCUAGUUGGAGGGGUAACGGCCCACCAAGGCAACGAUCAGUAGCCGGUCUGAGAGGAUGAACGGCCACAUUGGGACUGAGAUACGGCCCAGACUCCUACGGGAGGCAGCAGUGGGGAAUAUUGGGCAAUGGGGGAAACCCUGACCCAGCAACGCCGCGUGAAGGAAGAAGGCUUUCGGGUUGUAAACUUCUUUUACCAGGGACGAAGAAAGUGACGGUACCUGGAGAAAAAGCCACGGCUAACUACGUGCCAGCAGCCGCGGUAAUACGUAGGUGGCAAGCGUUGUCCGGAUUUACUGGGUGUAAAGGGCGUGUAGGCGGAGAUUCAAGUCAGGAGUGAAAACUAUGGGCUUAACCCAUAAACUGCUUUUGAAACUGA
RNAcentral lists this ribosomal RNA (556 nucleotides) under uncultured bacterium. Its description in RNAcentral is "bacterial SSU rRNA". It matches the Rfam family "Bacterial small subunit ribosomal RNA", at positions 66 to 636 of the family's 1533-position model. The record is from RNAcentral.